Molecule: ribosomal RNA, 617 nt
Filed under: Rhodobacteraceae bacterium J2058s
Lineage: Bacteria; Pseudomonadati; Pseudomonadota; Alphaproteobacteria; Rhodobacterales; Paracoccaceae
Description: bacterial SSU rRNA
Rfam family: Bacterial small subunit ribosomal RNA
Source: RNAcentral
AUUAGAUAGUUGGUGGGGUAACGGCCUACCAAGUCUACGAUCUAUAGCUGGUUUUAGAGGAUGAUCAGCAACACUGGGACUGAGACACGGCCCAGACUCCUACGGGAGGCAGCAGUGGGGAAUCUUGGACAAUGGGCGCAAGCCUGAUCCAGCCAUGCCGCGUGAGUGAUGAAGGCCUUAGGGUCGUAAAGCUCUUUCGCCUGUGAAGAUAAUGACGGUAGCAGGUAAAGAAACCCCGGCUAACUCCGUGCCAGCAGCCGCGGUAAUACGGAGGGGGUUAGCGUUGUUCGGAAUUACUGGGCGUAAAGCGCACGUAGGCGGACUGGAAAGUAUGGGGUGAAAUCCCAGGGCUCAACCCUGGAACUGCCUCAUAAACUAUCAGUCUAGAGUUCGAGAGAGGUGAGUGGAAUUCCGAGUGUAGAGGUGAAAUUCGUAGAUAUUCGGAGGAACACCAGUGGCGAAGGCGGCUCACUGGCUCGAUACUGACGCUGAGGUGCGAAAGUGUGGGGAGCAAACAGGAUUAGAUACCCUGGUAGUCCACACCGUAAACGAUGAAUGCCAGUCGUCGGGUAGCAUGCUAUUCGGUGACACACCUAACGGAUUAAGCAUUCCGCCUG